CCUACGGGUGGCAGCAGUGAGGAAUAUUGGUCAAUGGGCGGGAGCCUGAACCAGCCAAGUCGCGUGAGGGAAGACGGUCCUAUGGAUUGUAAACCUCUUUAGGCGGGGAGCAAUGCCGGGCACGCGUGCCCGGAGGGAGAGUACCCGCAGAAUAAGCAUCGGCUAACUCCGUGCCAGCCGCCGCGGUAAUACGGAGGAUGCGAGCGUUAUCCGGAUUUAUUGGGUUUAAAGGGUGUGUAGGCGGAUUUUUAAGUCAGCGGUAAAAUGUCCGGGCUCAACCCGGGCCGGCCGUUGAAACUGGGGAUCUUGAGUGGGCGAGAAGUAUGCGGAAUGCGUGGUGUAGCGGUGAAAUGCAUAGAUAUCACGCAGAACUCCGAUUGCGAAGGCAGCAUACCGGCGCCCGACUGACGCUGAGGCACGAAAGCGUGGGGAUCGAACAGGAUUAGAUACCCGAGUAGUC
RNAcentral lists this ribosomal RNA (460 nucleotides) under uncultured bacterium. RNAcentral describes it as "partial 16S ribosomal RNA". It matches the Rfam family "Bacterial small subunit ribosomal RNA", at positions 338 to 795 of the family's 1533-position model. The record is from RNAcentral.